CGUAUGUGCACAAAGUCAGAACUAGUGCUGUGAGAUAUGGACAAAAUGUUAUAUCCCGAUGUGGGUAAUUUUCUAUCCUAAAAACGCUAUUUCCAUCCAUCCAUUUGUUUUGUGCGACUUAUCGUCACUUGUGUCGCGGGCGUGAUGGAAUCUAUCCCAGCUAUCUUACCCAGAGAAAAGUCACGCAGGCACGGGGCGAAGGUGCAAACUCCACACGGGCGAGAGUGGAUUUGAACCCCGGGUCCUCAGAUCUCUGAGACAAAUGUGCUAACCAGUCGUGCUGCCCAUAACGCCAUAGAUAAAUAAAUAUACAAUAAAACAAAUAUCCGAUGGAAAAAUACCAUUCAAAAUAUCUGGUAGUACAUCCCGUUUUCUAAGAAUGUACACUGUAUUGUAUAUAUUGUAAUCAUAGUUAUGCAAGUUGUUGCAAAAAUACACGGGGGAGUCUGCUGACCUGUUUUCCGGUGUUGCUCAAGUGACAUUUGCAAAGCAAGCGCGAGAGCCGUUUCGGUCGACAGCAGAGGGCGAUGUUGCGCGACAUGGCGGCCCUCCGAGAUGGAUGAAUUAUGAUGAUGAAUUCACCUGUUUAAAGGUCAGAUGACAAAAAUGUUAUGGGGUCAGUUAAAAUUCAUAUUUGCCAUGGUAGGUUAAUUGAAGACUCUAAAUUGCCCGUUGUUGUGAAUGUAAGUGCGAAUGGUUGUUUGUUUCUAUGUGGCCUGCGAUUGGCUGGCGACCAGUUCAGGGUGUACCGAAGAUAGCUGGGAUAGGCUCCAGCACGCCCGCGACCCAAGUGAGGAUAAGCGGUACAGAAAAUGGAUGGAUGGGUUGUUUAUAUGUUCUGUAAUAAAUGCACGUCACUUCCAGCAAGUUGUCAACUAUAGUUUAGCUAAAAAUGAGGUUUUUAUUCCGUGUAUUGAGCACUCCCCGAACAUACCCGGCGCUCAAGACACUGGGGUGUGGUUACUCUAUCCACCGCAAGGGCUACAGGAACGGACGUUACAAUUGCCAAACACAGCACGCCACACUCUAUACGCAAUGGCGAGCAAUGUGUUGGAACAUGAGGAGGAGAAUUUUGACGUACAGGAGCACCUAACUGAACUUGGCAUCGUCAAACCGUACGCGUUUGAGCCGAUCAGGAAGUUGGAACGUGACAGUGACGACGACCAGCAACCAAGUAGCAGCUGAAAAAGAGAGCGGCCACUGCACUGCCUGCAGAAGAGACGACACAAUACCGCCCAGAGCCGUUUGGAAAUACAGACUGGGUCUACAUGUACAAUGCAUACAGACGAUUCACACGAUGGAUCUAUCACAUCCUUGGGAAGAAAAACAGAAGAGUUCUGCCAUCCUGUGUUGUUAGUAUAAUCCGUGCUCAGUGGGAGAGUGAAAACUACAAUUAUUGUGGAUUUAAAUAUCCAAAAGUCUAAUUAAACCAGAACGUUGUUGAA
Long non-coding RNA from Phyllopteryx taeniolatus (common seadragon), 1445 nucleotides. RefSeq lists it as uncharacterized. The transcript is spliced from 2 exons. The record is from RefSeq and is a predicted model, not a curated record. NCBI's taxonomy places the organism in Eukaryota, Metazoa, Chordata, Actinopteri, Syngnathiformes, Syngnathidae.